This is a long non-coding RNA of Patiria miniata (bat star), 3454 nucleotides long. RefSeq lists it as uncharacterized. The transcript is spliced from 4 exons. The record is from RefSeq and is a predicted model, not a curated record. NCBI's taxonomy places the organism in Eukaryota, Metazoa, Echinodermata, Asteroidea, Valvatida, Asterinidae.
UUUUACCUCGUUAUAGAAGCUUAUUUCACGCCUACAUACUCUAUGUAUCCUUAUCUAUUAGGCCGCUGGGUUCAAGAAUUCCAUAUGCGAUGCUGACUGACGUUAAUCAGGAAAAUAAACUCCAAAGCAACGUUGAACUUGUACCUUUGUGUAGACUCGUUUCAUCAAUUUCUCAGCGAGUCGUAUGCGCUGUAGCGCCCUCCGUGCUCUGCGUCCGUGCAGCGUGAACGCGCAGUGCGCACGCGCGAUUUGCUUAGUAACUGCGCCCUCAGACGCAUGCGCACUAACUUUUUUAGUCCGCUGCGUGAAUAAUUGACAAGAAAAGUUUCAACCAGACUGAGUCGCAUUGAUCUCCUUACGGUAUGGACGACGUAAUCGAUGUUGUUCUGAAGACAUGGCGUAUCUUACUCUUUGAAAUUAGAACAGAUGCGAGCGAUCGAGUCUGUGGUGAAGAAAUCCAAAAACGUUUUUGGAUUGCUACCGACAGGUUUUGGCAAAAACGAUUGUUAUGGAUGGCUCUCACCAAUAAUGGACAAAAUCAAACCAGGGGUAAAGCACAUCACAUUGGUGAUAUCCCCCCUUCGUUCACUAAUGAUGGACCAAGUGAGCAGGUGGUCUGCCGUGGGAGUCAAAUGUGCGGCCAUUUUGCAGGCUAAAGAAAUGGACAAUGCUACUAGAUGGUAAGUUUGGUGUCGUAAUUUGAAUUAUUACUUUAAAGGGAUUAUGUAACUUGGCUGGAUCAAUACUGUGACGGCCUGCAGUCGUCCCUGUUUAUGAUGUCAUUAUUUAUAAAUAGUCUUGGCAUCAAGCGCCAUGGAGAGUUCCUACUGCGCAUGUAUUUUUGUGCGAGUCACGCCCAUUUUCCACAGGUGAGAAUGAGUGCGCCCUCUCGUUACCACGCUCCAGUGACCACGCUCCACGAAACUUUCAGCCAAUUAGGGAUAAGGGAAGGGCAGAACAAUCCAAUCACAAUUAAGACGGCGGGGUUUAGGACAAUUUAUUGAAAGCAUCCUUAAUUGUAAGUGAGAUAUAAAGUAUGUGUUGAGUUAAAUAAAGGAGGAGAACUAAUUAAGAGCUGAAACCAUACAGACGUGUGCCUCUCUCUUGCUGUGUGUCGUAGGUUAUUCAAAUACAUGCAGUGUAAGUGAUAGUUUCUAGUCGCACUAUCAAGCAGGGAGAUUGGAAUCGGCACUGUCGCCACGCUACCUAAUAACAGACCGGUGCCGAUUCCAACUUGAUAAGACUACAAAUACCCGCUAAUGAGAAACCGCUCGGAUAACAGCAAAGGUCCAUUACAAUACGUUCAGCAUUUCGGUAUGAUUGACUUUAUAGCAUAUCCUGGCCAAUUUGAACACGCGGCCGAUUUCAAUUCAUUUUAAAGCACAUCAGUACAGAACAUCAAAAAUUGUUGUUUAGUUUCGUUAUUUGAGUAGUCUAUCGAUGGAUCAAAUAAGAUCAUUCAAAUAGUCGUUCGAUCGUUCAAAUUCGUCGAAAUCCUCAUGCAUUACAUAGAGGUUGAUCGAAAGUGUAGAAUAAUCCAUUGGCAAACAUUUUUUUCGUAUGGAUUACCUGUAUUCAAAUUCGUGGACGUACGUGCCCAUAUAAAUAAAAACAUAUUUGUUUACGAAAAGACACACAAACGGAAAAAGACACGGCAAAAAUCUAACACGGGGACAAAACAAGAUUAUUCAUAAUUUUCCCCGUCAAAUUGGCCAGCCGGGAAAACCCAUCGCUCGGAACAUUUUAAUAACUGUGCCCUGGGGUGUGUAGAACAUUGUCGGUUUUUAAAGUGUGACUAAUGUACAAACGGCGGAUAAUUUUGAACUCGUCUAUCAAACUGCCUUUGAGCCAGGGACUGCAACCUGUAUUUGAUAUUUUAAUAACAACCAUAAGUGUUCACGUUUCUGUUAGUGUUUUUAUCGUUGUUAGGAAUCAAUCAGCAAAGGAGAAUAUCAGUUGGUAUUUGCAUCUCCAGAAGCAGUACUGCGACAGCCAUGCAUGGUGGUUGGCAAUCAAGAGAUGGCGUGAUCGAAUCACUGCUUUAGUCAUAGACGAAGCCCACUGCAUGACCAAAUGGUAAAAUCGGGGGUGUCAGGUCUUCUAUUGAAGCAUCAAUGAUGAUACUGUCGAUUGCACUGUGAAAUUUACGUGGUUUUAUUUCAUCCUUUUGCGUUCCUGCAACUUCCCAUUUUUUUGUUAAUUGACACAAGUUUACCUUUUUAUUUCGCACAAAUUUUUACUGCACUGCAACACUCAACUUGAAACUUCUCAAGUGCCCAUGCAUCAUGCCGAUACACCACUUUCAGAGUCCUCACCAUAGGGCCCAAUCACAACUUCAGCUUGAUUGAUGGCGAUCUUGUUUCCCCUUUUUGUCUAUCGAAAUGAGCUUUCCUCAUCUUAAAUUUGAAACUGUCCUUAUUUCUUUCCGCAGGGGUUCAUUUCGUGAGGAGUACCUCAAUAUUUAUCGGCUUCGGUCAAUUCUCUCCAGCCAGCCUGUCGUCUGCCUUACGGCAACGGCAACACAGACGAUAAUGGAGGAGAUCAUCCAUUAUGUUGCAGCUUGAGGUGUCUACAUUUGACAUCAUAGCAGUGCUUCCGGACAGGCAAGAUUGCAAUGAGAGUUUCCUGGAUGCAUAAAAAAGAGUUUAACUCAUUUUUAUUUCUAGUCCUUGACGAAAGAAAAAAAAACUUUAACCGGCAGGCAUUUAAAGCACAAAGCGUAUCAUUAUUACAACAUUGCCUUAAAUUAACUUUUAUUUCAUUCAUUAAUGUGCUUUCAGACCCAAUAUAAAGUUGGAGAUGUUCAACGUGGAUAAUGCCAAUGUUGAAUAACAUUUGGCCUGGUAUUGUGCUCUGCUAAAGAGGGGAAAGGACGCACCAAAGGCGAUAAUUUACGCAAGACAAGUGAACGAAGUCUCCCGCAUUUAUGCGUGGCUGAUGACGAGUCUGGGGGAGAUGGCUUGGGUGGACCCUGUACACAGUGUCCAUAAUAGAAUAAUUGACAUGUACCAUGGUAGCACUGACGACGAAGGCCAAAGGUGUGUUACAUCAUCAUUUUGCCAAAAGACAUCUCCACUCCGAUGCGUUGUGGCUACCAUGGCUUUUGGUUUGGGCAUCCAAGCAGAUGAUGUGGAGUUUGUGAUCCAUUGGGGACCGGCAAAAGAUGUUCUCAGUUAUUGACAAGAAGUUGGCAGGUGCGCGAGAGAUGGGAGGCAAGGGUUUGGAAAGCUGUACAUAUUCCCGCGGUCCAUUAACAAGCGGUAUACUGACAGUACCAUGAUACAGCUAUGCAGCACAGUCAAAGGAGGCAACUGCAUGAGACAAGCGGUGCUCGAGCAUCUGAAGAUAACCGGCAUGAAUGAGCGUGUCAAGGUGAUCGGCUCCCACUGUUGCACUGUUUGCACGGAAGAGUAGAGAGAAACCGAGGAGAUGGUUUAUGCUAACUUACUGCACA